This is a non-coding RNA of Pseudopodoces humilis (Tibetan ground-tit), 1369 nucleotides long. The record is from RefSeq and is a predicted model, not a curated record. Lineage: Eukaryota; Metazoa; Chordata; Aves; Passeriformes; Paridae.
CCCAGUGCUACAAGGACCUCGGGAACGCCUCGGCGGCGGUGCUGUGGAUGGACCUCGCUUCGGAGCUGCAAGGGAACACCAAAGAGGAUGUAGAAAGCCAGAGGGAACUUGAGGAGAUGCGCUCGGUCUGGGAGGAAUAAUUUUGGCAAAACUCAUCCCAUUGCAGAGACAGUAAAAUUCCAAAUGGAUUUCACAAUCCUGAUAAUUCCAAGUACACUUCAAGGAUAAACAGCAAGAGCUUACAGGAAAAGACCCAGCAGCACAUCCAGGAAAACAUCUUGGAAUUAAUGGGAUAAAAUCGUGGUUUAUUUUCCUUUGCAGAGCACUGCAUGUGUUUGAUUUUAGGAUCCCUAAAAAUGUUACAUUCCUGAAAAACGGGGGGGAGUAUGGGGGUUUAUAGGUAGAAGUUGUGAUAUAAAAAUAUUUGUGGUUUUAUAUAUAUAUAUUUAUGGCAGAUAUAUGUGAGGUAGAUACUUUGUGAUAUAAGUAUGUAUUAUAUAUAUUUUAUAUAUGUGUGUAUAAAUAUAUAUAUAUAUAUAUAUUUAUUUAUAUAUAAUAUAUAUAUAUGCACAUAUAUAUUUUAUAUCACACACUCUGCCUAUUGGGAAGCCUUGCUGGUGAGCUCCCAAUUCAUUUCUGAGGAAAACUUAAGCCAAAUUUUUUUCUAGUUUAUUUGUAUUCUCUUUUCUGUAGUAAUUAAUGAUAUCAGUUGUAAUAACUGAUAAAAGCCUUUUGUGGAUGUUUUGGGGAGAUCAGUUUCCAAGUGGGACCAAAGAACAUUUCUGCACAAUCCAGACUGGAUUUUAAGAGGUUCGUUAGUGAAAGAAGCGAGGAAUAGAAUUUUGUUUAGGAUUUUGAAUUUAGGGUUUUCUCCCAGUGAUGUUUCUGUCUUCCCUCACAUGAGGCUGAAAACUUCUGUCCCUCCAAACCGUGCUGCUGUGGUUUAGAUGGAAUUACUGAGUUGGGGAAGUAGUUCUUGAUCAGAGAACAGGUUACAGGAGCGGGAAUAUCCUGUGGCAAAGAUGAUGUUUCACUGUGAUGAUCUUCUGCCACUGACCAGAUUCAUUCUCUUCGAAUUAAUUAUCUCCUGGACUAACGAGGUGAUGCUGAGAAGGUGAAGCCAACAACUGACAUUCCUCUUGCAGCUCCUGGGGACCAAACAGGAACAGGGAACUGUGCUGGAUGCUGACACAGAUGGGGAAGGAAAACGUCUUGUGGAAUUCCCCACAUCAAGGCUUUGUUCAUAUCCCUUAAAAUUCCAAUGGCAGCUACUGAACACUAAUUCCUGAGUGUCUGUUUCAUGCUGGGGGGGUUGUGAGGGGUUAAGUGAGGAAUGUGAGAGUAAAACAUUCCUGAAAUCACUUUUUUU